Long non-coding RNA from Anguilla rostrata (American eel), 2730 nucleotides. RefSeq lists it as uncharacterized. The record is from RefSeq and is a predicted model, not a curated record. The transcript is spliced from 2 exons. Lineage: Eukaryota; Metazoa; Chordata; Actinopteri; Anguilliformes; Anguillidae.
ACAGAUAUUUUCGCUUUCUCUCUCUCUCCACAACACGCGUUUCCCUCACGGUACUUUGCACUGUUUGUGCAACCCGCUUCCCCUUUUAUCCCCCUGCACUUAAUGGCUUAAUGAAGCCCAGGCUUGCCCCGUUGGGGCAGGAAGUCCAUAUAAGGCUCGGGGGUGGAGCCAGCGGGCUGCAACAUAUCUGCCCUCAAUUACCACUCCCCUCACCUCUCCCUGCCGUCUGCCACAAUACACUUUGUUAGUAUUUGGUGACAUUGUCUUUUAAUUGUUUAACUUGAAUCAAACGCUUGGGGUGUUCCUGUCCAGACUGUAUUUGGGCAUACAAGGGGAGGUGUGUAAUGUGGAAGGCUUGCUCAGGAUUGCAUUUAAGGGAAGUCCAAAGAAACAUUCAGGAGAAUCUGCUUAACAGUUCUCCUGGUACCACCGUCGAAGGUGAAUCUGCUUGUCAGUUCUCCUGGUACCAUAGUCUUCUCAUAUGAGUAUUUUGUAAUUUCAGCAUGCGUCAUUCGUCUCUUUGUGUUCCUUUUAUUUGUCUUUGUAUGUCUUUUCUUAUAGAAUAGCUGUCUUUAUUUGUCUUGUUUUGUUAAUGAAAUAUUUACCUCUAACUGCCUGUCCUUGGUUAAUGUCAAUGGUCAUAAUCAUUAUAAACAGUUUUUCCUUUUCAGUGCAUCUAACAUGCGUGGUUUGCAUAUACGCUGAACAGGGUGUGCAUCUCUGCAAGGACCAGUCAAUGUAUUGGCCUUAUAUACGGUUUCGGGGUAACACCAUAAUUGGGUUACUCACUGGGCAUAGUGAUAAUUUCACUGACCGGAAGUGCAGCUGCUCCGAGACAGAUGUUAGUUUCAAUGUCCAGAUGGAUCCUAGUAUUAUUUUACAUAAAUAGUAAUUGGGUCAUAGUCUGGGAUAUUUAGAUAGUUUCACUAACCAGACGGAGUAACCUUAGUGAGUGCUUCCUGGGAGAGAUGUUAGUUUCGGUACCCAGACAAGCAUAUUUUACAGGUUAAAGUCGCUUAUUCAUGGCGUAACAUUAUUUGCAAGAUUCCCAUAUGAGUAGCACCUUUACCUGCCAGGAUAGAAGGUCUUAGUGUCAGAGAACAAUUAGAUGAAUGCCUGGCAGCAGUAGAUAGUCUUGUUAUCUACAAGACUUGCCACCCACUAUUUCAGCACACCGCAGUCAAUACACGUAUACGCAUACCUAUAUUCGCACAAACAUCCACAAUACAUAUUUAUGGAGUCAGAUAAACUUGGUUUUCCUCAUUGCAAAACAUAUCUAAAUAAACUUCUUAAUCUUCUUAAUCACUUGAUCUCUUAGUCCCUGUCAUUAAUUUUAAAUCCUUACAGUUUGGUGUCUGGAUCGAUGUGAUUGGCAGGACACUAACUUUAAAGGAGUACCAUGGUGAUUUUCACACUUUCUCGGUUUUAUGUGCUAUUUGCACAAGAGGCAUUGAAGAAACACAAUGAGCAAAGUAUUAAAUAUGUCCGUUCUGUAUUCUUGGAGAAAUAUGCGUUUUAAAUUCAUCGUCUUAUUUUCAACCGGUUGAGAAAGUUGUCAUUUUGCUACGUCAUUAAUACAGUAACCACUCCCAUUUCCACGCCCCGUAAAGAAAUCUGACAGGACACACCGUCCUGCUGUUCAGACAAUGCAAAUAUUUGACUAACGUUAGGUUCACUUAAAUUAGAGUGCCUUUAGAUUAUUUCUGGUUAUAUUCAUUUAGCUAGCUAGCUAACAUUAGCUAGCUAGGAGGUUUGCUUUCAUAAGGCAAUGUUAUCGAUAACGUUAGCUUGCUAGUUUGCUUUUAUGAGGACGUUAUAGUUGUGCUUUUAUCUUAACUUGGCUAGCUAAAUAUCAAAAAUUAUCAUUAGAUAUAAGUCAACGUCCUUACCUUAGCUAUCUACCAAUACUUGAUAUACUAGCCCUACUAAGCUAGCUAGCUUGUGAAAAUUCAGUCUCCCAAAGAGAGCGCAUAUCAUGGGGGUAGCUAUGGUAACGGGGCACGGUCUGUCAAUCAUAGCUAACUGACAGUUCUCAUUACCACGCCCAGACGGUUCGGGUGAAUUUUUAUCGUGGGAAAUUUAGGCUUAGAAAAAUACGUUUUAAAGUACAUUGAAAUGACUGAAGAAUAAAAAAAUUAUGCACAUUUGUUUUGUUGUUGCCUGAAGACAACUGGGAAGUGUCACGUUCAACCACCAUGGUACUCCUUUAAACCCUUACAUCACAUACCCCUACCACCCGACUUAGGCCGGGGAGCUACCCGGCCGAUAACAGACUCUCUCUCCCCAACCGGGAGAGGUAGUCUGCCACCACCAUCCGCACCCCCAGCCUAUGGAUCACUUUAAACUUAUAGGAUUGUAAUGCUAGUAGGGCUGUGCCCUAAUCGGAUAAAUCGGAUUCGGCAGUUCAAUAUGACUAUUCGACGAUCCGUUUUAUAUAGAAAGGUCUAUAAGACUUUCUGGCAAAAUAGUACAUUGGCAUGCGUUUCAGUGCUGAUUUAGACCAGAUUAACAUAGUCAAGUGCAACAGAGUCAUAUUAACAUUUUUUUGAGCAUUUAAAAUCAAUAAAUCCGUGAAGACAACUGCAUAUGACACCAGAUGGCUGAAUUGCCGACAAUUUGUCGGAAUCAUGUGUUGGAAUAAUGAGACAGUAGGCUACACAGAUAUUUCUGGUUAAACAUAGCUCUUAUAACUUCUUUAUUUUGCUUUAAACAUUAAAAAUGAACAAACAA